RNAcentral lists this ribosomal RNA (27 nucleotides) under Botrytis sp. RNAcentral's name for it is "partial 18S ribosomal RNA". The record is from RNAcentral. Lineage: Eukaryota; Fungi; Ascomycota; Leotiomycetes; Helotiales; Sclerotiniaceae.
CGNAGGUGACCUGCGGAAGGAUCAUUA